RNAcentral lists this non-coding RNA (59 nucleotides) under Otolemur garnettii (small-eared galago). The record is from RNAcentral. Lineage: Eukaryota; Metazoa; Chordata; Mammalia; Primates; Galagidae.
CUGAACGCGCCCGAUCUCGUCUGAUCUCCGAAGCUAAGCAGGGUUGGGCCUGGUUAGUA